Molecule: transfer RNA, 72 nt
Filed under: Phrynosoma platyrhinos (Desert horned lizard)
Lineage: Eukaryota; Metazoa; Chordata; Lepidosauria; Squamata; Phrynosomatidae
Description: tRNA-OTHER
Rfam family: tRNA
About the family: Transfer RNA (tRNA) molecules are approximately 80 nucleotides in length. Their secondary structure includes four short double-helical elements and three loops (D, anti-codon, and T loops). Further hydrogen bonds mediate the characteristic L-shaped molecular structure. tRNAs have two regions of fundamental functional importance: the anti-codon, which is responsible for specific mRNA codon recognition, and the 3' end, to which the tRNAs corresponding amino acid is attached (by aminoacyl-tRNA synthetases). tRNAs cope with the degeneracy of the genetic code in two manners: having more than one tRNA (with a specific anti-codon) for a particular amino acid; and 'wobble' base-pairing, i.e. permitting non-standard base-pairing at the 3rd anti-codon position.
Source: RNAcentral
GGCAGCGUGGUGUAAUGGUUUGAGCACUGGACUAUGACUCUGGACAUCAAGGUUCAAAUCCUAGCUCAGCCA